GCUGCAUGGCUGUCGUCAGCUCGUGUCGUGAGAUGUUCGGGUUAAGGUCCCGCAACGAGCGCAACCCCUAUCUCUAGUUGCCAGCGAUUCGGUCGGGGACGUCUAGAGAUACUGCCCCGGUUAACGGGGAGGAAGGUGGGGAUGACGUCAAGUCCUCAUGGCCCUUAUGCCCAGGGCUACACACGUGCUACAAUGGGCGGUACAAAGGGUAGCGAUGCCGCGAGGUGAAGCCAAUCCCAAAAAGCCGUCCACAGUUCGGAUUGGAGUCUGCAACUCGACUCCAUGAAGCCGGAAUCGCUAGUAAUCGUGGAUCAGCAUGCCACGGUGAAUACGUUCCCGGGCCUU
Molecule: ribosomal RNA, 345 nt
Filed under: uncultured Desulfobacterium sp.
Lineage: Bacteria; Pseudomonadati; Thermodesulfobacteriota; Desulfobacteria; Desulfobacterales; Desulfobacteriaceae
Description: bacterial SSU rRNA
Rfam family: Bacterial small subunit ribosomal RNA
Source: RNAcentral